Molecule: RNA transcript, 1938 nt
Organism: Cyanidioschyzon merolae strain 10D
Lineage: Eukaryota; Rhodophyta; Bangiophyceae; Cyanidiales; Cyanidiaceae
Exons: 1
Source: RefSeq, a predicted model, not a curated record
AACCUGGGCAGCCAUACGGGAGCGCGCUUCGCUGGAUACAGUUUCUCAUUGGGAUGCCUCGGGAUCGCUGAACGCCUGAGACGUUGAAGCAGACGCUUCGGAUGCACGAGAGCUGUCGCUUAUCUGGGCUCAAGGAAUGGUGCCUACGCAGACGCUGCACUAUAGUGAUCCGUGUAGAGUAGUGUUUACUUGUAGAAGAGGAGCAGCAAUUCCUAGUCUUUUGGGGAAAGUUCAGGCAAUGAUCGGCUCUUCGUUGCCUGGACAAGCACCAGCUAGAGGCGUGCAAGUCGUGCUGCGAAGCCGGAAUUCGUCUUCAGCCCCGACUGCGACGGCGUGAGCAGACAAACCUUCCGGAGACGCGUGACGGCCCAUGGACGCACCGCCGCCUCGUUCAAGACGAAGCUUUGGCUUCAGAUGUACCCCGUGGCUAUCUUUAACGCGGAAGAAAGGCUGCGCUGUCGGGCGGUGUGGCGGCUUCAGCAUGCGGUGCCGCUCGCACCGUCUGGGCAGUCCCCGGCCCGAUCUUUCGUCCGACCUGAGAUCUACGCCUUGAACCAGAAUCCCUCGGACGUACGACUAGUUUCGAAAUCCAGGUUUGCGAUGACCGCUUCGAUCGCUUGGGUCCAGUGGUGGAGCUCGAGCGCGUGUGUAUGUGCUCAUGUCCGUUACCGACGUUUCACCGAUGAUCGUCCAAUAGGAUAGCUCGAUGAAGCUGGCGACCAAAAGCAACCGCGCAUACGUUGUGAAGGACAUGGCAAAUGCACGCAGCGCGUCUUUGCUGAACUGUUCGUGACGCUGGCAGACCGGUAGCCUUUCCUGUGACAGAACUGCGAUGUUACGUGUCUUCUUGGGUAGCGAGGAAGCCUGCUACGCAAGCGCACUGCAGGGUGGCUGUUGGCGUGCGUCCUGAACCCAAGCACGCUGCUGGGAUGAUCAGCUCGUCGCUUGGCAUCGAAGCAGACGCGCCUCGCCGACGCUAUGAGAUAGCAUCGCAGGUUUUGUUCUAAGAGACCCGAGCUGAUGCGCCCAACUUUGCAAUGACUUGCGUGCCGUGUUCCCUUACCUUUGGCCAAAGGGCGAACACUUGCGACAUUCUCGCACAAGGCAGGUGUAUUCAGUCUGCUGGUGGCUAUCAGAGCACUAACCAGUAGCCGCAAGAGUCAAGAUUCUGCAGGCUCUGCGCUUCACGGGCGCAUCUACUCGCCGCUGAUUUCGCUAGACGCAUGCGUCCAGCUGGAAUUUGCGCAGCGCUGCGGCCGGUCGCUGUUAAUCGAGGCCCUUCGGUGGAAAGCACUGCCACUCGACGGAUGCUGGUGCACGCGGAAGCACCUGGCAUCCAGAACACGGUUCGGCGGUGCCCGUGGCAGUGGCGGACGUGGCGGUAGCCCGUGAUGAUACCCCCCGCGCCCCCGGCACCUUAGAGGUAACGAGCCCAAUCGCUGAACGCGAAAUGCAUCACAGUGCACGCUCAGGUCCCGCUGCUACAGAGCGAUCGAGCUGGCACGCGAGCUAUCCUGGGUAGGGGUUUGCUGAUCAGCAGGGCGUCUGCUGCGGUCGACAUUCGAGCCAGUCUCAACAGUGACCAACUCGCAAGUCGUAAAGCCAUUCGUGAACACCCGUACGAUGCAGCGUGCGAGGCCUGCAUCGCCCUCAUCGUGUUGCGCUGCCUAUACAAACGAGCAAGGCCUUCUUCAUCCACGAAUGCCCAGCUCGAGGCGUCUCGAGUCAUCUGUGGCAUUGAGCAAGUGUCUGGUGGACCAGCGAGCGCCACGGCGACGCACUCCAGUGCCGAUGAACGCUACACACUCCAGAUUCGAGCCAGGAAACAGGUCCGCUGGUGUGUCUCCAGCAUCACCGUAGGAUCGUUUCGAUCAUGGACUGCGCUUGGUCAUAGUAUCCGCCACCAAACAGGGCGCCAUGAUUCAGAAUAUGGUAAAG